RNAcentral lists this ribosomal RNA (517 nucleotides) under uncultured bacterium. RNAcentral describes it as "bacterial SSU rRNA". It matches the Rfam family "Bacterial small subunit ribosomal RNA", at positions 31 to 518 of the family's 1533-position model. The record is from RNAcentral.
GAACGCUGGCGGCGUGCCUAAUACAUGCAAGUCGAACGGUCUUUUCUAUGGAAGCUUGCUUCCACUGAGAAGAUAGUGGCGAACGGGUGAGUAACACGUGGGUAACCUGCCCAUAAGAGGGGGAUAACAUCCGGAAACGGGUGCUAAUACCGCAUAGUUUUUCUUGAUCGCAUGAUUGAGAAAGGAAAGACGGCCUUUGUGCUGUCGCUUAUGGAUGGACCCGCGGCGUAUUAGUUGGUUGGUGAGGUAACGGCUCACCAAGACGAUGAUACGUAGCCGACCUGAGAGGGUGAUCGGCCACAUUGGGACUGAGACACGGCCCAAACUCCUACGGGAGGCAGCAGUAGGGAAUCUUCCGCAAUGGACGAAAGUCUGACGGAGCAACGCCGCGUGAGUGAAGAAGGUUUUUUCGGAUCGUAAAACUCUGUUGUCAGAGAAGAACAAGUUGGAGAGUAACUGCUCCAGCCUUGACGGUAUCUGACCAGAAAGCCACGGCUAACUACGUGCCAGCAGCUGC